ACUAAGCCGAUAGCAUAGGAACUGUUUUCUAUACUAAUCAAAGCUAUCAUCUAGCAAUGGUUUUUGACGUCCAGAUAAAUUGAAUAAUCACAAAGAAAUAUUCUAAAAUCUAUGCAUAUGGUUACUGCAUAAUUCAUCCCUUUGACCCUAAAUGCUCUAGGAAGAUCUCAGGUUAACUGUCAACCCUGAGUGUUUCAUCCAUAUUGUAUUUCAACUUUUCAAAUCUAUCACAUAGAUUAUCCUGAUCAAGAUUUUAUUAAAUAAAAAUAUAAUGAUAUAUCAGCUCCUAUAAUUCAGAGGGGUCAAUCCCAUCUUGAUCCACACAC
RNAcentral lists this long non-coding RNA (326 nucleotides) under Elaeis guineensis (African oil palm). Its description in RNAcentral is "long non-coding RNA (EGUI_LNC063795)". Lineage: Eukaryota; Viridiplantae; Streptophyta; Magnoliopsida; Arecales; Arecaceae. The record is from RNAcentral.